This 155-nucleotide ribosomal RNA is filed under the name Thanatephorus cucumeris. Its description in RNAcentral is "5.8S ribosomal RNA". It matches the Rfam family "5.8S ribosomal RNA". From Rfam's summary of the family: 5.8S ribosomal RNA (5.8S rRNA) is a component of the large subunit of the eukaryotic ribosome. It is transcribed by RNA polymerase I as part of the 45S precursor that also contains 18S and 28S rRNA. The record is from RNAcentral. Lineage: Eukaryota; Fungi; Basidiomycota; Agaricomycetes; Cantharellales; Ceratobasidiaceae. RNAcentral also lists the same sequence under 1 other name.
ACUAAGUUUCAACAACGGAUCUCUUGGCUCUCGCAUCGAUGAAGAACGCAGCGAAAUGCGAUAAGUAAUGUGAAUUGCAGAAUUCAGUGAAUCAUCGAAUCUUUGAACGCACCUUGCGCUCCUUGGUAUUCCUUGGAGCAUGCCUGUUUGAGUAU